This 521-nucleotide ribosomal RNA is filed under the name uncultured Eustigmatophyceae. RNAcentral describes it as "bacterial SSU rRNA". It matches the Rfam family "Eukaryotic small subunit ribosomal RNA", at positions 288 to 812 of the family's 1831-position model. The record is from RNAcentral. Lineage: Eukaryota; Eustigmatophyceae.
CGACGACUCAUUCAAGCUUCUGCCCUAUCAGCUUUGGAUGGUAGGGUAUUGGCCUACCAUGGCUUUGACGGGUAACGGAGAAUUGGGGUUCGAUUCCGGAGAGGGAGCCUGAGGGAUGGCUACCACAUCCAAGGAAGGCAGCAGGCGCGUAAAUUACCCAAUCCUGACGCAGGGAGGUAGUGACAAUAAAUAACAAUGCCGGACUUUCAGUCUGGCAAUUGGAAUGAGAACAAUUUAAAUCCCUUAUCGAGGAUCAAUUGGAGGGCAAGUCUGGUGCCAGCAGCCGCGGUAAUUCCAGCUCCAAUAGCGUAUACUAAAGUUGUUGCAGUUAAAAAGCUCGUAGUUGGAUUUCUGGUGGGGACAGCUGGUCGGGCUGGGAACAGCCUGCACUUGUGCUGGUCUUCAUCAUCCUUGGGGAGAGCAGGCGUGGCAUUAAGUUGUCGGGUCUGGGAUCCUCAUCGUUUACUGUGAAAAAAUUAGAGUGUUCAAAGCAGGCUUAGGCCGUGAAUACAUUAGCAUGG